Molecule: ribosomal RNA, 497 nt
Filed under: uncultured bacterium
Lineage: Bacteria
Description: partial 16S ribosomal RNA
Rfam family: Bacterial small subunit ribosomal RNA
Source: RNAcentral
GAUGAACGCUGGCGGCGUGCCUAAUACAUGCAAGUCGAGCGAACAGACGAGGAGCUUGCUCCUCUGACGUUAGCGGCGGACGGGUGAGUAACACGUGGAUAAUCUACCUAUAAGACUGGGAUAACUUCGGGAAACCGGAGCUAAUACCGGAUAAUAUAUUGAACCGCAUGGUUCAAUAGUGAAAGACGGUUUUGCUGUCUCUUAUAGAUGGAUCCGCGCCGCAUUAGCUAGUUGGUAAGGUAACGGCUUACCAAGGCAACGAUGCGUAGCCGACCUGAGAGGGUGAUCGGCCACACUGGAACUGAGACACGGUCCAGACUCCUACGGGAGGCAGCAGUAGGGAAUCUUCCGCAAUGGGCGAAAGCCUGACGGAGCAACGCCGCGUGAGUGAUGAAGGUCUUCGGAUCGUAAAACUCUGUUAUUAGGGAAGAACAAAUGUGUAAGUAACUAUGCACGUCUUGACGGUACCUAAUCAGAAAGCCACGGCUAACUACGUG